Long non-coding RNA from Podarcis muralis (Common wall lizard), 3277 nucleotides. RefSeq lists it as uncharacterized. The record is from RefSeq and is a predicted model, not a curated record. Lineage: Eukaryota; Metazoa; Chordata; Lepidosauria; Squamata; Lacertidae.
UCUGGGAAUGCUGAGUCAUGUUUUAGGCCUCUCUCAAGCUGCAGGAAUAAUUCUGCAUGAAAAUAAAGUUAAGUUUUUCUUCCUUGGUUGGGGUGUAAAAAAGAAAGCAAUGAAGAGAACUGUAGAGUUUCAGCAAGGUAACCGAAUUGAUCAGCAGCACAGUCUGAAAGAGAAACAGCAUUUUUAGUAGUACAUUCAUUUUCACUACCGAGAUUCUACUCAUCAGACCACAUGGAUGCUACCAUGUGAAGGAAGCAAAUUGGCAGGUGGAAGGAGGUGAUCAUCUGGCAUGAGGAUGCUGUGGAGCAAUGAGAAGGCAAGUUUGCUUGCAAAAGCCAGUGGAUUUGCAGAGUGGGUGGCGAGUUUGUGGUCUGAAGGUGGCUGAUAUCCAUGGCAGAAGCUGGCUGAUGUCCAAUGAUGGACCAAGCAGAUAUGGACGAGUAGCCGGAAGGUGGCUGAUGUUUGGUAGUGGACCAAGCAGAAGCUGGCAGGUGUAGGUGGAUGGAUGCUGGUGGAAUUCACAUUCGGAAGCUUUUGGACCAAAUGGCUUUGGUAGCACUUUUUGUAUAGCUUUGCAGUAGCACCAUAUUUAACUUUGCUGUUUAAUAUUGUUUGGAGCGGUGGAGCCCUCCCAAACAUUUGGUCCCCAUUGAAAAUAAUUGUUUUACCUAAACCAGGUAGAGAUCCUAAGGAAGUGGAAUCUUACAGAUGGAUCACCCUGUUCAACCAACUUUUCAGUCAUGGCUUCCAGCAGGGUGAUCCAUACAAUUGUCAAUUCGGACCAAACCAGAUUUAUCCCAGGCAGACACAACACCACAUGCAGGUUAGUCAAUAUAAUAUAUGACAGUAAUUAAGAAGAAUCCCAGCCCUUUGGUGAUGUCACUGGACAUUUACAAGGCCUUUGACUUUUUAGAAUGGGGGUACUUUUAAAGUCUUAGAACACUAUCAGAUGGGCAAAACGUUCAUGACUACUAUCAGAGUCCUCUGUGACUCUCACCAGGAUGCUGUUAGCACAGCUGCUGUGAAUUUGAACUCUGUUCAUAUUGGCAAGUGAGCAAAACAAGGUUGUCCCCUGUCCACAUUGCUCUUUGCUGUUUCUCUGGAUCCAUUAGCAGUUUCAUUGCUCAUGUAUCAAGGGUCAUCGGGGAAAGGUUGAAUAGCAUUUAUUAAACUUUUAUGCUGAUGACAUGAUGUAUAUGUUACCUAACCCUCAGGAAGCCCUACCAAUAUUCAAAUUAGAAUUAGGAAAAUUAAAAAUAAAAUACUGGGUCUUAGAACUAAUCUUAAAGAAGUUGCUGAUAACUUGUUAUAGCAUAGGUCUGAUGGAAGAAAUCAAGCUUAAGCAAAUGACUCUAGCUAAGCUGUAUUAUCGUCGGAUCCAAUAAGAAAUGGGUUGAUGUAGAAGGUGAAAUGAUACCAGACACAAAAAUAUGGGUGCUUCCUUUUAUUAGGCUCUCCAAAACAACUUUAGAUACAAUGCAUAGCCUAUACACAUUGAAUAUGCUACAGGUAUGGAAAAGGUGGCAGCGCUGUCAGUCUCUGUUAUACUUGCCUCUAAUGCCACAGUUUUCACCCUCAAGUCCAGGAUUCGGCCUUGCGUAGUACAAUCCUUUCAUGGAUUUCCAUGUUAAUGACAAACUGUUAUCCAAAGAACAACUUAAAAUAAAUACAGGAGAUCCAGGCCUAUCCUGGUUACGAGAAAGAGGUAUUUACAGAAAUUACACAAAUUUUAAAGUCUGAAAAUCAGGCAACCCCACAACUUGCAUUAAAAAAUGUGUGGGAUAACAAUCUGAAACAGUUUUCUUUAAUACAGUUAUUAACUUCAUGGCUGGCAGUUGCAAUACUACCUAUAGCACAAAAAUGGAAGACUUAACUUGAAUUACAUCCUGCAUUAUGGUGCAAAAUUAUUUGGUCUCUUGCUGGAAAAGUUAACUUUCAACAUUUGCUGUAAUCAGAGGCAAAGAACCUGUGGAACAUGCACAUGUGAUUUGGUCGGACUUUAUAUCUUAUGUUCCAACUGACAACUUACAAGACUUCUUAUCUGCACCUAAAAAAGAAAUACGUAUUUCCUGAUUAGCAUAUAUGUAUAAAUUGAAUUAUGUUUGUACUUACCCAUUUUAUGUAUGCAUCUCUUCAACAACUUUCUGGGUUGGACUUAAUUGUUCUUUGUUCUUCUGUAAAGAAAAAGAAAAUGUUAGUUUUGUGAAAUGCAAUAAAAAAAAUCAAAAAAGAAGCAGGCAGAUGUUGCAUGGCUGAAGUUGGCUGAUUUUUGCAGAUGUAAGCCAGCGGAGGUUCUCCCCUGAAGCUGUGAAGAGUGACUGAUGGACUGGGUGUUUGCUGUUGCAUGUUACUCCGCUGAUGUCACCUUGAAGCUUUAAAAGGGGAUUAAACAAAUUCAGUGGCUACUACUCACAGGAUCAAAGGUAUUACGCCUUUGCAUCGGGAAACAGCGUUGAGAGGGUGAUGUUGUGAUCACAUCCUGCUUGUGAGCUUCCCAGAGGCAUCCGAUUGAUCAAUGAGAACAGGAUGUUGUUAAGACAAUUCUUACAGAAAGCUUAAAUAAAUGGUAGGCUGAUGGCUCUUCUUUACCAUGUCUCCAGAGUUGUAUAGAAUAACAGCUCCACCUCCCAGGGGAAAAAAACCAGCUCGGAGCCCCCUACACUUUGCCAACCUUCCCCUAACCCAUUAGAUGGAGGGGGGGACAGGACGAGAUGACCUAAUUGUGAUGUCACAUGACUGGCAUACAGGUUGCCCUGUCCAAAUCCCAACAUCAGAAAUUGAGAGUGUGGGAAGUGUUGCAAAGCAUGCCCCACACUGAUCCUUUCAACCCUCUGCUGUUCCUUGGCAUGUCCAAUUUAACCAAAUGCCUGGAUAAAAAACAACAGGACGUCCGACCAUCUGCAGGUGCCUUCUGUGCCAGUUUUAAACACCUGCUGAAAACCUUUCUGUCUUGCUAGGCCUAUCCUUCCUCAAUGGUUGCUGAUGUCUGUUUUUAACCUUUUUGCUAUCAACUUCCUUAUGUUUCUACUGUAUGGUAUUAUUGUUGUAAACCGUUUAUGCAAACCAAGGACACAUGCAAAGCAGUAUGCAAAUACUUUUAUAAAUAACUAAAUCUGAACAAUCAAAUAGCCUUAGUAGCAAUUCGCACACCGUCCCCCCUCUAGGGCAGCCCACUCUCUUCUCUGUCUCUCACACAAAUUGUCUCACUCUGUCCCAUCAGACUCUCACUCUGUGGCUUGUGAGCUACGGUAAACUCUUCUUCUCUCUCUCUCUCUCU